Molecule: ribosomal RNA, 514 nt
Filed under: Bacillus sp. HKA-72
Lineage: Bacteria; Bacillati; Bacillota; Bacilli; Caryophanales; Bacillaceae
Description: bacterial SSU rRNA
Rfam family: Bacterial small subunit ribosomal RNA
Source: RNAcentral
AAACCGGGGCUAAUACCGGAUAUUUCUUUUCCUCGCAUGAGGAGAAGUGGAAAGAUGGCUUCGGCUAUCACUUACAGAUGGACCCGCGGCGCAUUAGCUAGUUGGUGAGGUAAUGGCUCACCAAGGCAACGAUGCGUAGCCGACCUGAGAGGGUGAUCGGCCACACUGGGACUGAGACACGGCCCAGACUCCUACGGGAGGCAGCAGUAGGGAAUCUUCCGCAAUGGACGAAAGUCUGACGGAGCAACGCCGCGUGAGUGAAGAAGGUUUUCGGAUCGUAAAGCUCUGUUGUUAGGGUAGAACAAGUACCGUUCGAAUAGGGCGGUACCUUGACGGUACCUAACCAGAAAGCCACGGCUAACUACGUGCCAGCAGCCGCGGUAAUACGUAGGUGGCAAGCGUUGUCCGGAAUUAUUGGGCGUAAAGCGCGCGCAGGCGGUCUCUUAAGUCUGAUGUGAAAGCCCACGGCUCAACCGUGGAGGGUCAUUGGAAACUGGGGGGACUUGAGUACAGA